CACGUAGGGCGCGAGCGUUGUUCGGAAUUACUGGGCGUAAAGGGCGCGUAGGUGGCCAACUAAGUCAGACGUGAAAUCCCUCGGCUUAACCGGGGAACUGCGUCUGAUACUGGAUGGCUUGAGUCCGGGAGAGGUGAGUGGAACUGCGAGUGUAGAGGUGAAAUUCGUAGAUAUUCGCAAGAACACCAGUGGCGAAGGCGGCUCACUGGCCCGGUACUGACGCUGAGGCACGAAAGCGUGGGGAGCAAACAGGG
RNAcentral lists this ribosomal RNA (254 nucleotides) under uncultured bacterium. RNAcentral's name for it is "partial 16S ribosomal RNA". It matches the Rfam family "Bacterial small subunit ribosomal RNA", at positions 524 to 777 of the family's 1533-position model. The record is from RNAcentral.